UGAGGAAUAUUGGGCAAUGCCCGCAAGGGUGACCCAGCAACGCCGCGUGGAGGAUGAAUGUCGUAAGAUUGUAAACUCCUGUUAGAGGGGAAGAAUAGUACCGGUUGGACCGGUAUAUGACUGUACCCUCAGAGAAAGCCCCGGCUAACUACGUGCCAGCAGCCGCGGUAAUACGUAGGGGGCAAGCGUUGUCCGGAUUUACUGGGGGUAAAGGGCGCGCAGGCGGGAUAAAAAGUCAGUGGUGAAAUCCUACAGCUUAACUGUAGAACUGCCUUCGAUACUUUUAUUCUUGAGUUCGGGAGAGAGAGACGGAAUUCCAGGUGUAGUGGUGAAAUACGUAGAUAUCUGGAAGAACACCAGUUGCGAAGGCGGUCUCUUGGUCCGACACUGACGCUGAGGCGCGAAAGCGUGGGGAGCAAACA
RNAcentral lists this ribosomal RNA (422 nucleotides) under uncultured bacterium. Its description in RNAcentral is "bacterial SSU rRNA". It matches the Rfam family "Bacterial small subunit ribosomal RNA", at positions 355 to 774 of the family's 1533-position model. The record is from RNAcentral.